AUCCUCUAGGUUCCUUAUGCAUUAGACAUAAACACUGGUAUUAGUGGUUUAAAAAGGAGGAAAAGUAAAAUUGAAAUUGACAAAUUCUUUUGUGACACACGUGCUGGUUCCAAGCAAAC
This 119-nucleotide small nucleolar RNA is filed under the name Echinops telfairi (small Madagascar hedgehog). RNAcentral describes it as "Small nucleolar RNA SNORA61 (ENSETEG00000024269.1)". Lineage: Eukaryota; Metazoa; Chordata; Mammalia; Afrosoricida; Tenrecidae. The record is from RNAcentral.